Molecule: ribosomal RNA, 396 nt
Filed under: uncultured bacterium
Lineage: Bacteria
Description: partial 16S ribosomal RNA
Rfam family: Bacterial small subunit ribosomal RNA
Source: RNAcentral
AUACGUAGGGAGCGGGCGUUGUCCGGAAUUACUGGGUGUAAAGGGAGCGUAGGCGGGAGUGCAAGUCAGAUGUGAAAUACAUGGGCUCAACCCAUGGGCUGCAUUUGAAACUGCAUUUCUUGAGUGAAGUAGAGGGAAGCGGAAUUCCUGGUGUAGCGGUGAAAUGCGUAGAUAUCAGGAGGAACACCGGUGGCGAAGGCGGCUUACUGGGCUUUUACUGACGCUGAGGCUCGAAAGCGUGGGGAGCAAACAGGAUUAGAUACCCUGGUAGUCCACGCUGUAAACGAUGAUUACUAGGUGUGGGGGGACUGACCCCUUCCGUGCCGCAGUUAACACAAUAAGUAAUCCACCUGGGGAGUACGGCCGCAACGUUGAAACUCAAAUGAAUUGACGGGG